This 216-nucleotide ribosomal RNA is filed under the name Campeiostachys nutans. RNAcentral describes it as "Elymus nutans partial small subunit ribosomal RNA". The stretch from base 40 to 216 matches the Rfam family "Eukaryotic small subunit ribosomal RNA", at positions 686 to 864 of the family's 1831-position model. Lineage: Eukaryota; Viridiplantae; Streptophyta; Magnoliopsida; Poales; Poaceae. The record is from RNAcentral.
GGGUCUACCCAUUGGUCAUGCCUCUGGUAUGUACUGGUCUCACUGAUUCCUCCUUCCUGAUGAACCUUAAUGCCAUUAAUUUGGUGUUUUGGGGAAUUUGGACUGUUACUUUGAAAAAAUUAGAGUGUUUAAAGCAAGCUAACGCUUGAAUACAUUAGCAUGGAAUAAUGAAAUAGGACGUUCGAUCCUAUUUUGUUGGUUUCUAGGAUUGACGUA